Molecule: ribosomal RNA, 431 nt
Filed under: uncultured bacterium
Lineage: Bacteria
Description: partial 16S ribosomal RNA
Rfam family: Bacterial small subunit ribosomal RNA
Source: RNAcentral
AACGAACGCUGGCGGCAUGCCUAACACAUGCAAGUCGAACGAGACCUUCGGGUCUAGUGGCGCACGUGUGCGUACCGCGUGGUAACCUGCCCUUAGGUUCGGAAUCCCUCCCCUUAAGGUGUCCUAAUACCGGUUAAUCUCUUCGGACCAAAGAUUUAUCGCCUUUGGAUGGGCCUGGGUUGGAUUAGCUAGUUGGUAGGGUACAAGCCUACCAAGGCGACGAUCCAUAGCUGGUCUGAGAGGAUGAUCAGGCACACUGGGACUGAGACACGGCCCAGACUCAUACGGGAGGGAGGAGUGGGGAAUAUUGGACAAUGGGCGAAAGCAUGAUCCAGCAAUGCCGCGUGAGUGAUGAAGGCCUUAGGGUUGUAAAGCUCUUACCCGGGAUGAUAAUGACAGUACCGGGAGAAUAAGCUCCGGCUAACUCCGUG